Nematostella vectensis (starlet sea anemone) is the source of this 2170-nucleotide RNA transcript. RefSeq lists it as uncharacterized. Lineage: Eukaryota; Metazoa; Cnidaria; Anthozoa; Actiniaria; Edwardsiidae. The transcript has 2 exons. The record is from RefSeq and is a predicted model, not a curated record.
CCAAAUAAAGCUGGUAAGUUGAAGUCUGGCAAGGAAGACCGUCCAACUUCAGAAGUUGUAGUUAAACAGUUGUGGCCGCAACGUUUUCUUUCCUUGACUCGUGCUAGUCAGGAGAUUACUUACGAACGUCUUACCAUGGCAGAAUUCGUGGCGGGGUAUGCACAGAUUCUACAAUUACGAGAGAUCAGUUCGUUCGAGCGCGCCGAACGACACAAACAUUUGGUAACGCUGAUGUACCACGCACAGCUAUACGAAUGGGAGGCGGUGCUUGCCUUCCAUGGAGCGGUUUUGCUUGAAAUCGAACGUGGCUUAUUGAAGUGGGGUGAUUCCUUUUCCCACCUCGAAAGCAGAACCCUCCAUGGUCAGCUACUUUCACCGCCGAAAAAGCAGUCUUACAGUUCAGGGCCGACAUUGUUUUGUAGAGAUUAUCAACGCGAGAAGUGCAUUCAUACCAAGGAUCAUUAUGGUUACGUCCGAGGCGAACGUAAAUGGGUAAAACAUAUUUGUGCGGCUUGUUGGGUACAAUCGAGAAAACAGGAAUCGCAUAGAGAGGAUUCAUCUGAUUGUCCGCUUUCAGGGGAAUCAAAAAAACUGAUAAACUUCGCCCUUGGUCAAGACAUUGGGGGCGUUCCUUCCGUUACUGUUGCUUCAUUUCCGGAUAUGUCGUUUUGUGCUUUGAAUGCUGAUGCUUGCUCCCAGCCGCUAAAGGCUGCAGUUACUGACUGUCGUGGCUUUUCCACGGGCGCUGAUUAUAUUCAUGAUGUGUGUUUUCCUCAGCCGGUGGAGGCUGGUGUUCUAGACUGUCGUGGUUUUUCCACGGCCUUUCCUCGUGACUCUCAGCAGGCGAAUGAUUUUUAUUUGUACGCACAUGAGUUAGUUUUUCGUUCUGGUCGCCCGAACUUUGUGGUUUCUCGCCUGCCCGUUCCAAGUUCCCUAAAGAUCAAUACUUGGAGGACUUUGUUGUAUGAUUAUGACGACCAAAUGAUUUGUGAUUUCCUGGAGUUUGGUUGGCCGGUGGGUUUCACGGGCGAUACUGUUCCUAUUUUUGAUGCUCGCACUCACCGGGGUGCGCUCAAUUUUGCGACUCAAGUUUCAGAGCAUUUACAACGUGAAGUCUCGCUUGGUCGUGUCGCUGGGCCGUUCACGGAUCCUCCCUUCGGGGGUGGAUUUGUUACUUCACCGUUGAACACGGUUCCCAAGCGAGAUUCUGAAGAACGUAGGGUAAUUGUGGACUUGAGCUGGCCUAAGGGCGGUUCAGUAAAUGAUGGUAUUCCGUGUGAUAGUUUUCUGGGAGAUCCGUUCGUGACUUGUUAUCCCACUAUAGAUGACAUUGUGGAAGCGAUCGUGCAGUUUGGCCCGGGUUGUUUUCUCUAUAAGAGGGAUCUGCGGCAGGCGUAUAGGCAGUUUCCUGUGGAUCCCGGCGAUUACCGUUUACUUGGGUAUAUUUGGAAUGGACAUUAUUACUUUGACACUGUUUUAACUAUGGGGUUACGCUCUGCUGCUCAGGCAUGUCAGCGCGUCACCUCAGCGGUAGCUUGGAUUCAUCGACAGCAAGGAAAAGUUUUAUUUAAUUAUUUGGAUGAUUUCAUUGGGGUUUCUGAGGCUAGCUCUGCGACUUCCGAUUUUGAGCAGUUGGGGACUCUUCUCUCAGUCCCUCGAUAUAAAUUGUUUGGAACUUCUCACUAUUGUGGUGGCGCUUAAGUUGUGGGGUCAACGGUGGACGGGACUCCGUUUAACCGUGCGCUGUGACAAUCAGAUUCCUCGGCUUUGGCCUCUCUGCAAAAGGAUCUACGACAGACAUUACAAGCUGCUUAUAGCACAGGGACAUAUAGUAAUUUAAAGACUCAAUUUAAGGCCUUUUUUCUAUUUUGCUUAUAUUUUGACUUGACUCCAUUACCAGCAGACAUAGAUACGGUCUGUCUUUAUGUACAGUUUUUAAGUCGUUCGAUUGCACCACCUUCGAUUCGUAAUUAUUUAAGUGGGGUCAAGUUAUUACAUCUUUUCGCCGGUUAUGACUAUGCAUUUACUAAGGAUUUUAGUUUAUCCCCAGCCCUGCGGGGAGUUUCCCGUAGGAUACCACAUGUACCUCAGAGGGCUCCACCGGUAACUCCUAGCCUUUUAUUGCUAGUUGCGCGAACAGUAGAUUUUCAACAUGAUGCUAACUCUUCUA